UUCUGUUUUAUCUAUGGUAUGGAUAUUUACUUUGCAAUAAUUUUCAUGACAUGAGACUACAUUUUGCUGCAAUUACAAGCGAUUUGAUCUAGUUUUGUUAUAAUUUCGUUUCAAUUUUAUGCGAAUAGGUACUGAGUUUAUAAAAGUAACAUAAUAUUGUCUUGUAUAUAAUUAGUUUUUGUGUAUUUCGGAUUCCGUUUACAUCUAGGUACCUACUAUGUCGGGGUCCUACGAGAAAGCUGGCGUAUCAACGCCACGAAUAUUCUGGCGCCCGUAAAUCGUCAAAACGAGUGAAAAGCGCAUUCAGUUGGAUACAUGUGGACGACAAGAUAGUAAACCUGUAAAUUAUAACUCAAGUUGUGGCCAGCUUCAUUGUAAACAAACUUUAGUUUUCAAGUUCAAGGACAAAUGCGUGUCAGUAACAUGGAUAAAUGCUACUUCAUAUGUUUUAUUUCAGUCAAUGAACCUUUGACUGUUAUAGAAGUUUGUCGAGAUAAUAUAAUGACUUUAUCAGCAAUAUGAUGCCAAAGUUAAUACACUUUUUUAAAGAAUGUAUUCUGCCAGAAAUAGUUUUGAGACAUGUUCAAAAAAAUGCGAAAUGUAUACCUAGGUAUGAAAGCAGCUGUGUAGCGGUAGUUUCCAGGCAAUAAUGAAGAAGGAUGAGUGAAAACAACACGACAAAUGUUUUUUUAUUGUACUAUUAUAGUAGUGUGUUUAGAAUCUACAUUAUCAAUGUUUACAGUCAUGUUUUUUUUGAUGUCAGAAAACUGAAAUGGUGUACUCGUCGUAAUGAACAUAAUGUUCAUAAUGUGAUAUGAAUACAUUGACCUAUUUUAAGGUUUCUGAAAAACAAAAAGGAAAGUUGUUGCUUUUUUAUUUCCUUAUGUAGUAUAGUGAUUAUGGAUGCUUAGAUAUUCUCAAACAUUUUUCCGCUUUCAUUGCAAUCUAUUAUUCUGGUUGCCUUGUUUAUGAAUUAUAGUUUUGAAUUAUUAUUUUGAAUGAGAUUAUUUUUUAAUAAUCAGUCACGUAUCAAGCAUUCAUGUCACAUAAAUACUUGUAAUAAUUGCAGGUUAGUAUAUACAUUCUAUUAAAUAAUGUAUAAGAUAAUAAAAUAAAACUGUCUUACAUUGCA
Long non-coding RNA from Spodoptera frugiperda (fall armyworm), 1132 nucleotides. RefSeq lists it as uncharacterized. Lineage: Eukaryota; Metazoa; Arthropoda; Insecta; Lepidoptera; Noctuidae. The record is from RefSeq and is a predicted model, not a curated record. The transcript has 3 exons.